Molecule: long non-coding RNA, 300 nt
Filed under: Phaseolus vulgaris (common bean)
Lineage: Eukaryota; Viridiplantae; Streptophyta; Magnoliopsida; Fabales; Fabaceae
Description: long non-coding RNA (PVUL_LNC003593)
Source: RNAcentral
GACUCUUCAACAACAUCGAACCGACAACUUUGUCCCUCAGCAAGCACAUUAUGAGCAACACAAUUCAUUUUCAAUCUAAAUUCUACUUGUACUUCUUUGAAUUUGGCAUGUGUGUACUCCAUUUGGAAUUGUCUUUCGAUGCUAGACUGGGACGUGCAAGGAAUAACGGUGUUCAUCGAAGCAAAGUCUGCUUCACAUUCUAAUUGUGCUUUUCUUUUGUAGUGCAUUGUUAUAUUGAUGUACAAAUUGUUGAAGUGUGGUCAUCGAAUUGAUAUAGCCAUCAAAAAAGGCGUUCAUGCU